This 505-nucleotide ribosomal RNA is filed under the name uncultured bacterium. RNAcentral describes it as "partial 16S ribosomal RNA". It matches the Rfam family "Bacterial small subunit ribosomal RNA", at positions 28 to 507 of the family's 1533-position model. The record is from RNAcentral.
GACGAACGCUGGCGGCGUGCCUAAUACAUGCAAGUAGAACGCACAGUUUAUACCGUAGCUUGCUACACCAUAGACUGUGAGUUGCGAACGGGUGAGUAACGCGUAGGUAACCUGCCUGGUAGCGGGGGAUAACUAUUGGAAACGAUAGCUAAUACCGCAUAAUAUUGAUUAUUGCAUGAUAAUUGAUUGAAAGAUGCUAUUGCAUCACUACCAGAUGGACCUGCGUUGUAUUAGCUAGUAGGUGAGGUAACGGCUCACCUAGGCGACGAUACAUAGCCGACCUGAGAGGGUGAUCGGCCACACUGGGACUGAGACGCGGCCCAGACUCCUACGGGAGGCAGCAGUAGGGAAUCUUCGGCAAUGGACGAAAGUCUGACCGAGCAACGCCGCGUGAGUGAAGAAGGUUUUCGGAUCGUAAAGCUCUGUUGUAAGAGAAGAACGGGUGUGAGAGUGGAAAGUUCACACUGUGACGGUAUCUUACCAGAAAGGGACGGCUAACUACGUG